CAUAGGUUAAUGAGGCGAACCGGGGGAACUGAAACAUCUAAGUACCCCGAGGAAAAGAAAUCAACCGAGAUUCCCCCAGUAGCGGCGAGCGAACGGGGAGCAGCCCAGAGCCUGAAUCAGUGUGUGUGUUAGUGGAAGCGUCUGGAAAGGCGCGCGAUACAGGGUGACAGCCCCGUACACAAAAAUGCACAUACUGUGAGCUCGAUGAGUAGGGCGGGACACGUGGUAUCCUGUCUGAAUAUGGGGGGACCAUCCUCCAAGGCUAAAUACUCCUGACUGACCGAUAGUGAACCAGUACCGUGAGGGAAAGGCGAAAAGAACCCCGGCGAGGGGAGUGAAAAAGAACCUGAAACCGUGUACGUACAAGCAGUGGGAGCCUCUUUAUGGGGUGACUGCGUACCUUUUGUAUAAUGGGUCAGCGACUUAUAUUCUGUAGCAAGGUUAACCGAAUAGGGGAGCCGAAGGGAAACCGAGUCUUAACUGGGCGUUAAGUUGCAGGGUAUAGACCCGAAACCCGGUGAUCUAGCCAUGGGCAGGUUGAAGGUUGGGUAACACUAACUGGAGGACCGAACCGACUAAUGUUGAAAAAUUAGCGGAUGACUUGUGGCUGGGGGUGAAAGGCCAAUCAAACCGGGAGAUAGCUGGUUCUCCCCGAAAGCUAUUUAGGUAGCGCCUCGUGAAUUCAUCUCCGGGGGUAGAGCACUGUUUCGGCAAGGGGGUCAUCCCGACUUACCAACCCGAUGCAAACUGCGAAUACCGGAGAAUGUUAUCACGGGAGACACACGGCGGGUGCUAACGUCCGUCGUGAAGAGGGAAACAACCCAGACCGCCAGCUAAGGUCCCAAAGUCAUGGUUAAGUGGGAAACGAUGUGGGAAGGCCCAGACAGCCAGGAUGUUGGCUUAGAAGCAGCCAUCAUUUAAAGAAAGCGUAAUAGCUCACUGGUCGAGUCGGCCUGCGCGGAAGAUGUAACGGGGCUAAACCAUGCACCGAAGCUGCGGCAGCGACACUAUGUGUUGUUGGGUAGGGGAGCGUUCUGUAAGCCUGUGAAGGUGUGCUGUGAGGUAUGCUGGAGGUAUCAGAAGUGCGAAUGCUGACAUAAGUAACGAUAAAGCGGGUGAAAAGCCCGCUCGCCGGAAGACCAAGGGUUCCUGUCCAACGUUAAUCGGGGCAGGGUGAGUCGACCCCUAAGGCGAGGCCGAAAGGCGUAGUCGAUGGGAAACAGGUUAAUAUUCCUGUACUUGGUGUUACUGCGAAGGGGGGACGGAGAAGGCUAUGUUGGCCGGGCGACGGUUGUCCCGGUUUAAGCGUGUAGGCUGGUUUUCCAGGCAAAUCCGGAAAAUCAAGGCUGAGGCGUGAUGACGAGGCACUACGGUGCUGAAGCAACAAAUGCCCUGCUUCCAGGAAAAGCCUCUAAGCAUCAGGUAACAUCAAAUCGUACCCCAAACCGACACAGGUGGUCAGGUAGAGAAUACCAAGGCGCUUGAGAGAACUCGGGUGAAGGAACUAGGCAAAAUGGUGCCGUAACUUCGGGAGAAGGCACGCUGAUAUGUAGGUGAAGUCCCUUGCGGAUGGAGCUGAAAUCAGUCGAAGAUACCAGCUGGCUGCAACUGUUUAUUAAAAACACAGCACUGUGCAAACACGAAAGUGGACGUAUACGGUGUGACGCCUGCCCGGUGCCGGAAGGUUAAUUGAUGGGGUUAGCGGUAACGCGAAGCUCUUGAUCGAAGCCCCGGUAAACGGCGGCCGUAACUAUAACGGUCCUAAGGUAGCGAAAUUCCUUGUCGGGUAAGUUCCGACCUGCACGAAUGGCGUAAUGAUGGCCAGGCUGUCUCCACCCGAGACUCAGUGAAAUUGAACUCGCUGUGAAGAUGCAGUGUACCCGCGGCAAGACGGAAAGACCCCGUGAACCUUUACUAUAGCUUGACACUGAACAUUGAGCCUUGAUGUGUAGGAUAGGUGGGAGGCUUUGAAGUGUGGACGCCAGUCUGCAUGGAGCCGACCUUGAAAUACCACCCUUUAAUGUUUGAUGUUCUAACGUUGGCCCCUGAUCGGGGUUGCGGACAGUGUCUGGUGGGUAGUUUGACUGGGGCGGUCUCCUCCUAAAGAGUAACGGAGGAGCACGAAGGUUGGCUAAUCCUGGUCGGACAUCAGGAGGUUAGUGCAAUGGCAUAAGCCAGCUUGACUGCGAGCGUGACGGCGCGAGCAGGUGCGAAAGCAGGUCAUAGUGAUCCGGUGGUUCUGAAUGGAAGGGCCAUCGCUCAACGGAUAAAAGGUACUCCGGGGAUAACAGGCUGAUACCGCCCAAGAGUUCAUAUCGACGGCGGUGUUUGGCACCUCGAUGUCGGCUCAUCACAUCCUGGGGCUGAAGUAGGUCCCAAGGGUAUGGCUGUUCGCCAUUUAAAGUGGUACGCGAGCUGGGUUUAGAACGUCGUGAGACAGUUCGGUCCCUAUCUGCCGUGGGCGCUGGAGAACUGAGGGGGGCUGCUCCUAGUACGAGAGGACCGGAGUGGACGCAUCACUGGUGUUCGGGUUGUCAUGCCAAUGGCACUGCCCGGUAGCUAAAUGCGGAAGAGAUAAGUGCUGAAAGCAUCUAAGCACGAAACUUGCCCCGAGAUGAGUUCUCCCUGACUCCUUGAGAGUCCUGAAGGAACGUUGAAGACGACGACGUUGAUAGGCCGGGUGUGUAAGCGCAGCGAUGCGUUGAGCUAACCGGUACUAAUGAACCGUGAGGCUUAACCUUACAAC
This 2746-nucleotide ribosomal RNA is filed under the name Escherichia coli. Its description in RNAcentral is "partial 23S ribosomal RNA". It matches the Rfam family "Bacterial large subunit ribosomal RNA". The record is from RNAcentral. Lineage: Bacteria; Pseudomonadati; Pseudomonadota; Gammaproteobacteria; Enterobacterales; Enterobacteriaceae.